AAUGACCUUCGAUUAUUCCAUCCUAUUAAAUAUGAAACAUCUAAGAAAACCUUUAUACACAAAUCUCCCAAAUUCAUACAAAGUUAAGGUGAGUCAAGUGGGUAAUGUGCGUAUUUUGCUAGAUUUAAUCCUAAACAAUGUGUUAUUUGUUCAAGAUUUCAGAUUUAAUCUCAUUUCAGUUCACAAACUCACUAAACAACUCUCUUGUACCUUGCUUUUCUCAUCUUUUUGCACAUUCUUGUAGGGCCUUUCACUGAAGAGGCCAGUGGUAGUUGGUGAAGUCAAGGAAGGUCUAUAUAUUCUUAAUCCGACUUCUUUAAGUUCUGGCCUAGUUUAUGGAAAUCAAUUAAUUUUUCAGUCUUAUUCUGCUUGUAACAACCUCAAGAAGGACAUUAUCUCUCAUUUAGUUUCUUUUUCUGCUAAGGUCAACUCUAAUGUAAGCCUAUGGCACAAAUGAUUGGGACAUAUGCCUAUGUCUAGUAUGAAAAUAUAUCCAGUUUUAAAUUUCCUUCUCUUGUCAAUUCAACUCUAAUGUAAGCCUAUGACACAAAUGAUUGGGGCAUAUGCCUAUGUCUAGUAUGAAAAGUAUAUCCAGUUUUAAAUUUCCUUCUCUUGUCAAGUUUAAUCAUCCUUGUGAUAUAUGUU
Molecule: long non-coding RNA, 645 nt
Filed under: Nicotiana benthamiana
Lineage: Eukaryota; Viridiplantae; Streptophyta; Magnoliopsida; Solanales; Solanaceae
Description: long non-coding RNA (NBEN_LNC015805)
Source: RNAcentral